RNAcentral lists this small nuclear RNA (24 nucleotides) under Arabidopsis thaliana (thale cress). Its description in RNAcentral is "snRNA_09694". The record is from RNAcentral. Lineage: Eukaryota; Viridiplantae; Streptophyta; Magnoliopsida; Brassicales; Brassicaceae.
AUAAUAUCUUGUAACAGAAACAAA